Molecule: ribosomal RNA, 1556 nt
Filed under: Escherichia coli
Lineage: Bacteria; Pseudomonadati; Pseudomonadota; Gammaproteobacteria; Enterobacterales; Enterobacteriaceae
Description: bacterial LSU rRNA
Rfam family: Bacterial large subunit ribosomal RNA
Source: RNAcentral
AUGCUGGAGGUAUCAGAAGUGCGAAUGCUGACAUAAGUAACGAUAAAGCGGGUGAAAAGCCCGCUCGCCGGAAGACCAAGGGUUCCUGUCCAACGUUAAUCGGGGCAGGGUGAGUCGACCCCUAAGGCGAGGCCGAAAGGCGUAGUCGAUGGGAAACAGGUUAAUAUUCCUGUACUUGGUGUUACUGCGAAGGGGGGACGGAGAAGGCUAUGUUGGCCGGGCGACGGUUGUCCCGGUUUAAGCGUGUAGGCUGGUUUUCCAGGCAAAUCCGGAAAAUCAAGGCUGAGGCGUGAUGACGAGGCACUACGGUGCUGAAGCAACAAAUGCCCUGCUUCCAGGAAAAGCCUCUAAGCAUCAGGUAACAUCAAAUCGUACCCCAAACCGACACAGGUGGUCAGGUAGAGAAUACCAAGGCGCUUGAGAGAACUCGGGUGAAGGAACUAGGCAAAAUGGUGCCGUAACUUCGGGAGAAGGCACGCUGAUAUGUAGGUGAGGUCCCUCGCGGAUGGAGCUGAAAUCAGUCGAAGAUACCAGCUGGCUGCAACUGUUUAUUAAAAACACAGCACUGUGCAAACACGAAAGUGGACGUAUACGGUGUGACGCCUGCCCGGUGCCGGAAGGUUAAUUGAUGGGGUUAGCCGCAAGGCGAAGCUCUUGAUCGAAGCCCCGGUAAACGGCGGCCGUAACUAUAACGGUCCUAAGGUAGCGAAAUUCCUUGUCGGGUAAGUUCCGACCUGCACGAAUGGCGUAAUGAUGGCCAGGCUGUCUCCACCCGAGACUCAGUGAAAUUGAACUCGCUGUGAAGAUGCAGUGUACCCGCGGCAAGACGGAAAGACCCCGUGAACCUUUACUAUAGCUUGACACUGAACAUUGAGCCUUGAUGUGUAGGAUAGGUGGGAGGCUUAGAAGUGUGGACGCCAGUCUGCAUGGAGCCGACCUUGAAAUACCACCCUUUAAUGUUUGAUGUUCUAACGUUGACCCGUAAUCCGGGUUGCGGACAGUGUCUGGUGGGUAGUUUGACUGGGGCGGUCUCCUCCUAAAGAGUAACGGAGGAGCACGAAGGUUGGCUAAUCCUGGUCGGACAUCAGGAGGUUAGUGCAAUGGCAUAAGCCAGCUUGACUGCGAGCGUGACGGCGCGAGCAGGUGCGAAAGCAGGUCAUAGUGAUCCGGUGGUUCUGAAUGGAAGGGCCAUCGCUCAACGGAUAAAAGGUACUCCGGGGAUAACAGGCUGAUACCGCCCAAGAGUUCAUAUCGACGGCGGUGUUUGGCACCUCGAUGUCGGCUCAUCACAUCCUGGGGCUGAAGUAGGUCCCAAGGGUAUGGCUGUUCGCCAUUUAAAGUGGUACGCGAGCUGGGUUUAGAACGUCGUGAGACAGUUCGGUCCCUAUCUGCCGUGGGCGCUGGAGAACUGAGGGGGGCUGCUCCUAGUACGAGAGGACCGGAGUGGACGCAUCACUGGUGUUCGGGUUGUCAUGCCAAUGGCACUGCCCGGUAGCUAAAUGCGGAAGAGAUAAGUGCUGAAAGCAUCUAAGCACGAAACUUGCCCCGAGAUGAGU